RNAcentral lists this microRNA precursor (75 nucleotides) under Myotis brandtii (Brandt's bat). RNAcentral describes it as "mir-9193 microRNA precursor family". It matches the Rfam family "mir-9193 microRNA precursor family". Lineage: Eukaryota; Metazoa; Chordata; Mammalia; Chiroptera; Vespertilionidae. The record is from Rfam by way of RNAcentral.
UGUGGUGUGGGGGCAGUCCCUCAGCCUGGAUUGCAAGAGGGCGCAGGCCAGGCUAAGGAACCCCACUGGUGCAUG